Molecule: ribosomal RNA, 324 nt
Filed under: uncultured eukaryote
Lineage: Eukaryota
Description: partial 18S ribosomal RNA
Rfam family: Eukaryotic small subunit ribosomal RNA
Source: RNAcentral
CCCUUAGAUGUUCUGGGCCGCACGCGCGCUACACUGAUGCAUUCAACGAGUUUCUUCCUGGUCCGAGAGGAAUGGGUAACCUUUUGAAAGUGCAUCGUGAUAGGGAUAGACUAUUGCAAUUAUUGGUCUUCAACGAGGAAUUCCUAGUAGACGUAGUUCAUCAGACUGCAUCGAUUACGUCCCUGCCCUUUGUACACACCGCCCGUCGCUCCUACCGAUUGAAUGCUCAGGUGAGCCAUUCGGACUUUCAUCAUGCUGGUUACCAGUUUUGAUGAAGGAAAGUCUUGCGAACCUUAUCAUUUAGAGGAAGGAGAAGUCGUAACA